Long non-coding RNA from Apis cerana (Asiatic honeybee), 4632 nucleotides. RefSeq lists it as uncharacterized. The record is from RefSeq and is a predicted model, not a curated record. Lineage: Eukaryota; Metazoa; Arthropoda; Insecta; Hymenoptera; Apidae.
AUAAACGAUUUAAAUUGUCUUUCUUAAAUCUUAAUUAAAAUAUUUUUAAUUAAACUUUAAGAAAAUAGCAAUUACAAAAAUUUAUACAUUUGUAGUAAUAAUAUAUUCUAAAUAAAAGUUGAAUAAAGUGUAACUGAACUCAUCAGUCCAUAUAUAGGAAACGACUGAAGUGAAAUAAGUAUCUAUCUGGCAUUGUUCUCUGAAUCUUUCAAUUUACUUUGGGAACCGGUUAAACAUGGCUACGUCAGUGGUUGCAGUACCAUUUAAGGAGGAUAAUAUGUAUCGUGGAAUGUCAUCUGGCAAAGAUAUUUUUCGGUCGAUCCUAGCAUUCCUGAAUAGUUUUAUCCUUGUUCGAUUUGUGUCAAGGAGCGUAUAACAUGUAUUCCAUACAUUUUAUUAAAUCCAUGUUUGGAAAUCAGAACGAUUCAUGAAAAUGAUAGAAAAUUCUUGAUAACUCUAUAUUUGGUAUCGAGGAUUUUACAAUAAGAGAGAGACAGAUCCAUAACGAAAAUUUAGAUUUACUUAUGAAAUUAUUAAUAUUUAAAAAAAUGACAAUUGAUUGAGAAAUAAUAAUUAUACCAAUUAUUAAAUUGAUAAAUUAUUUUUAAAUUUGGAUUUGUAUCAAAAGUUAAAAUAAUAGUUAUUUAUAAAAUUCAAGAUAAUUUGAUUCUUUAUUGUUUUAUUAAUAAAACAUUUAUCAUUUUCUAAUAAAUGUGGGAUAGAUACAAAUUUGCAUUCUUAUAUCACACGAUGUAACUUUUUUUCAAGUAUAUUACAUGUAAUAACUCAAAAGUAUUGUAAAAAAGAGAUUUGUUCCUUAGUACUAGAUCCUAAAUUACAUCUAAUUCUUAUUUAUUUUAUGUUCAAAAAAAGAAAAAUUAUAAUUUCAUAAUUUUAAUAUAUUUGAAUAUUCUAGAUCAGUUGUAAUCUCAAUUUAUUUAACUUUAAUAAAUUCAUCAAAAAAAAAAAAAAAAAAAAAAGAAAAAUUAUAGUUCUUUGAUAUUUCCUUCUCUGGAUCGCGUCAAUGCAUAAAAAUUGGGAUUAUUAAAAUGGCGACGAAGCAUUCAAACCUCACUGAAUCUGUCGAGAGGAUUCUCGCAAUCCUACAAAGGUACAAUCCGUUUGAAAAGAGGAGAAGCUGCGUUGGAUUACAAUUAUGGCCGCUUAGAUGCUCGAAACUUUGGCGCAUUUGUAACAAAGAUAUCGUGUUCGCACGACUUAUCAAAGGAUUGGGAUGAAAAAGAAAGAAGGGAAACACUCGAGAGAUCGAAAUAAGAAAUGGUUUCCCAGGCGACAUCAAACCUUCCUCCCUUUCCUUCUUUUUCCUUUUUUUGUCACCAUCAUAAUCACCAGUUUUCUUGCUUGAAAAUCUGACGUUUCGCGGCUAACUGACACGUUGUUAAGAAUAUAGAUGGCGUCGCGACAAGCAUGCCAUCUUGUGAAUAUCUUGAGUUGAUGAAAGAGAUCGUUUCUCUUUCAAAAAUCUUUGACUUUGAACCGACUGGGAUUAUUUGUUGAAAUAACUAUUAUUACAAUGUUUAAUCUUGGAUUUUCUAAUUAAUUUCAAGAUUCGCUUUGAUAUUAUUUGACAUUUGAUAUUAUUUCAAAGAAAUUAUAGAAAUAGAUUUUCAUAAAAAUUAAUUUUCCAAUAAUGUUAAAUAUUAAAAUAACUAUUUAAUUCUUAAAAAAUAAAAUUCUUGAAAAAAUUGUUUUGUUAUAUAGAAUUUAAAUUAUAAUGCAGUUUUUAAAAAUUAUUUUUUAAAACUCAUAAUAAGCAUUAUAACAAUAAUUAUCCAACAAAGAAUAAAAGUGGAAUCAUAAAAGGAAAGACAAACUAAGGAACAUCAGAAGCGUUUAAAAACAAUCGUUCCAUUCAUCUUCGUCUCUUUUCUGUCGUAGCAUUCAUAAUCUUCGUUUAUAUGACUCUUUCUUUCUAUUGUAAAGCUAGACAGUUCGAAAGAAAGUGGAUGAAAGCAUGAAAGAAAAAGAAUGAGAAAAAUGACUUGAAGUUUGAAACAUGAAAUACAUGUUUAUCACUACAAAUCCGGUUAAUAUCAAUAACCACAAUUUUUUUUGCAAAUAUGCCACUAUGUAUUCAACUAUUUUACCGCGUUACUAAUUACAUCGUACUCAGCCAAUGCUCGUCUUCGACAGCCAUGACCGAGUUUCCUUUACAUAGCUUUUUCCCUUUACAUCCAGCUAACAAACAACUCGCGGAAGAAAAGACGAUGACCUUGCUCUUUCGACUGCCAACACGUAUACCUUUUCAUCCGCGGAUAAGGUUACCUCUUGCGUAAGCUAGCGUACUGAAUUCAAUUUCACCGAGAAAACCGAAGAUAAUUUUCACACUGUUUUUUAUAUCUUUCUUCAUCUAUUUUAACUUACAAUGACGUAAAAGAAAAGUGAAAAAAAAGAAUACGAAUUGAGCAUUUUUGAGGUUAUCGUGAAGAGAAAGAACACAUGUAAAUUUUAAGGUUAUCAUGAGAAAGAAGGAAUGAAUUAUAAAUAAAUUUUAAAACUAUCUUGAAAUAUUUCUUAUCUGACUUAUAGAUAUGAAAACAAAGAUGUGCACAUAUGAUAUUACACAAAACCGUUUAUUCAAGACUAAAUUAUGAACUGAAAGAAAACAAGAAAAAUCGGAGAGAAGGCCAUCUAUUAGCAGAGUAAAACAAUUAAUAGAAAAGUCCCUAUGGCGUGAUCAUCAUGUAAGACUUUUGAUUGGUGGUUUAGUAUAAGAGCACAUACUUAAUAUAUAUAAUAUAUUAAAUAUUAAUAUAUUUAUAAGAUUUAUUGAAAUAUAAUUUUAUAAUUUAUGAUUUAAUUUGGCAUUAAAAUUAUAAACAAUCUAUCCUCAGGUAGUAAGUUCAAUUAUUAUUAAUUGGUUCAUUUUGUAGAUACAUAGGUACAUUUUGUAGAUACUAUUGAGAAUAUCUAUGUAUUUGUUUGAAAAAGAUAUUUAGAGAAAAAGAGUAAGUAUUGUUGAUUAUUAUUUUAUACUUUUUUUCGAUAUUCUUCUUUUUUUUAAUCAUUCCAUAUUUAAACAUAUCUAGUAUUUACAUUUUAUUCAGUAUUUUUUUGCUUUUUUUCAAUUUUUUUUUUAUGUUUUCGUUUUUUAACCUUUUGUCAAGCUCUCUCUUCUUCAUUUUUUCUUUUGUAGUCAUAUCACUUUCUCUUGGUGUUUCAAUCUAUUUUUAUUUUUCUCUGUUAUAUCGAUCAGCGUCUAUUCUAUUUAUUUUCUUUUCUUUUCCAUUUCUAUAUUCAUAAUUGAUUGUAAAUAAAAUAUAAUAAGGAUUGUAUGAAAAAAAAGAAGAUAUAAUUUUAGUAAAAAUGCAAUCGAACACGUUCUUCACAUGAUGUAUCAGCAAACUGCUUCUCGAAUUAAAAUCUUUUAACGAGGGUCACUACGAUCGACUGGACACUUGACCUCGUUGACCUGGUUUCCGGUAUGCUAGCGUCCUUGCUGACUGUCUUCCAUUGGUCUUUUUCAAGAGUAAAGAUAAGACACGAAAAGAAAAAUAAACUUCUUUUCUAUUUCUUACCUAUUCUCUAAAUUCUUAUUAUUUUUUAUCUGAUCUUUUUAAAAUUUGUUUUCCAAAUUUUUAAAUCUAAUGGUUUCUAUUUAUACAAUCAUGACUUACUUUAUUAUUUAACUUUAUAAUUAAUAAGCUUCAAUUGAUAUUUUUUUAUAUCCAAGUUUUCUAUUUAUUUUAAUUUAUAGAAUCAACUCUUCAAAUUUGUUAUAUACGAAUAUAUUAACAGAAAACCUAUGAAUAAUAAAAAUGCAAAUCUCCCAACCACGAGAUCACUUUUCAACGUAUAGAGAGAGUAUCCGACUAAACGUGGAGGUAAUUAGACUGGACGAAACUCGAGUUAAUUGAAGAGCAGGCGACAGUUAACUGGAAGACACUACGCUGGUCCAUUGUAUUCAGUCUAUAGCCCUCUAAAUCUCUCUCGCGAGUAGUGUUCUACCUCUUUACUUGCUAACCUUCCAUCCCCAUGACCAUUUUGCUUUAACCUAGUAACCAACCUUCUAUCCCUUUAGCGGCUAGUGGAUAACUCUGAUCCUGAGACAAACUUAGCUAAAACCAGCUGGAUAUACAUGCACCAUGUUAAAUGGUAAUUAACUCCCGAACAUGGGAUCGUGCACAGUGGACAACACAUUGGAAAUUAACUAUGAAAAAAAAAAUUAAGAAAAGAGGAUUUCAAGUUGCCAAAUCAUUUUUAUUUAUUCCAACGGCAUUCUGUAUUUUCUGCGAAAGGAGUUAUAAGAAUAGCCAAGAAAGAAAAAGGACACGUUUCGUUUUCCGUUGGCCAUUCGAUGGAACCCUAAACGUCUUGCGUAACCGGAAGCCAGUCAGCGGAUAUCGACAGACAAAGCCACGACCGUAAUGCAAAUUCCUCGAAUCGAUUCUAUAAGUUAUUUUUACGGUACUAUGAGUGUUCUUUGAGCGAUUAUACGAUUAUUAUACAUGUAUUAUAAAUAUUUGUCGAUGGUUAUUAUUCGUUGUCUCAUUGAAUGAUACGAGGGUCAUCGGAAGUUGACAAUGCCGGAAUUAAUUAAGAAAUUUAAAUUAAAGAUGAAAUCAAGGAUAAGUAAAUUAUUAAAUUAAACAUGUGGAGAAUUGAAAUCUA